UACGUAGGGUGCGGGCGUUGUCCGGAAUUACUGGGCGUAAAGAGCUCGUAGGUGGUUUGUCGCGUUGUUCGUGAAAACCGGGGGCUUAACCCUCGGCGUGCGGGCGAUACGGGCAGACUUGAGUACUGCAGGGGAGACUGGAAUUCCUGGUGUAGCGGUGGAAUGCGCAGAUAUCAGGAGGAACACCGGUGGCGAAGGCGGAUCUCUGGGCCAUUACUGACGCUGAGGAGCGAAAGCGUGGGGAGCGAACAGG
Molecule: ribosomal RNA, 253 nt
Filed under: uncultured bacterium
Lineage: Bacteria
Description: partial 16S ribosomal RNA
Rfam family: Bacterial small subunit ribosomal RNA
Source: RNAcentral